GUGCUUGCUUUGGCAGCACACAUACUAACAUUGGAACGAUACAGAGAAGAUUAGCACGGCCCCUAUGCAAGGAUGACGUGCAAAUUCAUGAAGUGUUCCAUAGUUUA
Small nuclear RNA from Sciurus carolinensis (gray squirrel), 107 nucleotides. The record is from RefSeq and is a predicted model, not a curated record. Lineage: Eukaryota; Metazoa; Chordata; Mammalia; Rodentia; Sciuridae.